UACGUAGGGACCGAGCGUUGUCCGGAAUCAUUGGGCGUAAAGCGCGCGUAGGCGGCUAUCCACGUCGGAUGUGAAAGCUCAGGGCUCAACCCUGAGAGGCCAUUCGAUACGGGAUAGCUAGAGGCAGCUAGGGGAAGGUGGAAUUCCUGGUGUAGCGGUGAAAUGCGCAGAUAUCAGGAGGAACACCGGUGGCGAAGGCGGUGGUCUAGGCCGGCACUGACGCUGAGGAGCGAAAGCCAGGGGAGCAAACGGGAUUAGAUACCCUUGUAGU
RNAcentral lists this ribosomal RNA (271 nucleotides) under uncultured bacterium. RNAcentral's name for it is "partial 16S ribosomal RNA". It matches the Rfam family "Bacterial small subunit ribosomal RNA", at positions 524 to 794 of the family's 1533-position model. The record is from RNAcentral.